ACGGAUCUCUGGCUUUCGCAUCGAUGAAGAACGCAGCGAACGUGCGAAACGUAAUGUGAAUUGCAGAAUUCAGUGAAUCAUCGAAUCUUUGAACGCAUCUUGCGCUCCUUGGUAUUCCGAGGAGCAUGCCUGUUUGAGUGUCGUGAAAUACUCUCAAUUUCAAUCUUUUUGUUUGAAAUUGGAUUUGGGCAUUGUUGUGAAUUCACGACUUGCCCUAAAUGCAUUAGCGAUCCUGUCUCUGAUCACACAAUGUGAUAAUAAAAAAACAUUGUUACAGUCGAGUCAAGGUUGCUUCUAACUGUCUGUCACCAGACAACCAUUACAUGUCAUUUGACCUCAAAUCAGGUAGGACUACCCGCUGAACUUAAGCAUAUCAAUAAGCGGAGGAAAAGAAACUAACAAGGAUUCCCCUAGUAACGGCGAGUGAAGAGGGAAGAGCUCAAAUUUGAAAUCUGGCGGCCUACGGUCGUCCGAGUUGUAAUCUAGAGAAGCGUCUUCCGUGC
RNAcentral lists this ribosomal RNA (503 nucleotides) under uncultured fungus. RNAcentral's name for it is "eukaryotic LSU rRNA". The stretch from base 332 to 503 matches the Rfam family "Eukaryotic large subunit ribosomal RNA", at positions 1 to 170 of the family's 3401-position model. Lineage: Eukaryota; Fungi. The record is from RNAcentral.